Molecule: long non-coding RNA, 42811 nt
Filed under: Malus domestica (apple)
Lineage: Eukaryota; Viridiplantae; Streptophyta; Magnoliopsida; Rosales; Rosaceae
Description: long non-coding RNA (MDOM_LNC014587)
Source: RNAcentral
CACCGCCACCUUCCAAGAGUACUUGUGCUAAAACAACUCUUCCUUCUCCUCCCAAACCGCAACUUCUGCCGCCUGAUGUUUUAGUUUCAAAACCUGAAGACCCAUCACUUUCUGAAGAGACUAAAAACUAUUCAUCGGAUGGAGCCCAACAAUCAACCACUAGUCAUCCAGCUGCCACUGGGAUGCCAACCUCAAGUACCAUUUCUGGCAAGGUGUUACCUAAAGCACCACCCACUCCGCGUUCUGAGGUUUCUUCAUCAACCCGGCCUCCUCCAACUCCUCCAACUCCCCCACCACCUCCUCCAACACCGCCUUUGAAAGAGAACCUUUUUGACGGCUCCAGACCUCCGCCGCCUCCACCUCCUCCUCUUCACUCAGGGCAAGCUGGAGGCACUACAAUCUCAUCCCCAGUUCCACCACCACCUACUGCUCCCACUUCUUCCGCCAAACAUGGAGCUCCUUCUGCCCCUCCUCCUCCACCUCCUAUUGGUAAAGGAGGUUCUAAGCCGGGUAACCCUCCCCCACCACCUAUUAGUUCCCCUGGUGGUGCAAAAGGACGCCUACUACGUACCAUAAGUUCAAAAAAUAAUAAUUCAAAAAAACUGAAGCCGUUGCACUGGUUAAAAUUGUCAAGAGCGGUUCAGGGAAGCUUAUGGGCUGAGGCACAAAAAUCUGAUGAAGAGGCCAAGUAUGAUUUAACUUGCUACGAGAGAAGAGAAGAAUUGUUUCAUGUAUAGAUCUUCCAGCCUUUAACAUUAUUUCUUUUUAAUAUUGAGACAGGGCUCCUGAGAUUGACAUGUCAGAGCUUGAGACUCUUUUCUCAGUGGCCGCUCCGGCCCAGGAUAAGGGUAGGAAGUCAGCCGCACAUGGUUCGGUUGCCCCUAAAUCUGAAAAAGUACAACUGGUAAUUGUAAUUUCAACUCUCAGUUAAUGCACAACACAAUUGCUCUUGAGGAUUUGUUACUUGACGUGGUUUGUGUUCAUCGUUAUAUUUCAUAGUUUAAUGCACUAUCAUGAAUGAGGGAUAUGUGUUUUAUUUCUUUCUUGCAUAUGAGCCUACUUUGUCUCUGCUUAUUCAUUUCACUAUAUAUCUAACUGGCUUUUUAUUUGUUUACUGCAGAUUGACCACAGGCGAGCGUACAACUGUGAAAUCAUGCUUUCAAAGGUGAAGGUUCCGUUGAACGAGUUAAUGGUAUGCUUGAUCGUAAUUCCACAAGUUUAUCUGCUUUCAUCAACCUUGUUUUCAAUAUUAAUCCCUAUAAAAUAUGACGUUUUCUGUAAUAUUGACAGGAUUCGGUACUUGCCCUGGAAGAUACAGCAUUAGAUGUUGACCAGGUAGAGAACCUCAUAAAGUUUUGCCCAACAAAAGAGGAGAUGGAACUACUUAAGGUAAGUCUUUAGCUGAAGAUGUAAGGUUUAGGUAAAUCUUUCAAGUAUACGUAAUCUCAUUUAUUUUGUGUUCAGGGCUACACUGGAGAAAAGGAGAAGUUAGGAAAAUGUGAACAGGUUUGCAGGAUGUCAUGAGUACAUUUGUUUGUUAAUUAUAUAAUGUAUUUUCCAUUCCUUUAUACAUGGGGAUCCCUUUAUUAAUUUUUUAAUGUUUGUGGCAGUUCCUCUUAGAGUUGAUGAAAGUACCUCGAGUAGAAUCUAAGCUCAGAGUUUUCUCAUUCAAAAUACAGUUCUCUUCCCAGGUAAACUAGCAUAUGUAAUUACUUAUCAGCUUAGCUGUAAUAUUGUUUGUGUUUUAUAUUAAGACUUGCUGGUGGCACCGUGUAGGUCUCUGAUCUUAGAAAUAGCCUGAAUGUAGUGAACUCUGCAGCAGAAGAGGCAAGUUAUUCCUUCUUUUUUUCUCUUAAUCGUUGAUCACCAUUCAAGGAUUAUCAAAUUCUUUAUUUAUCUUACAACCUGUUCUACUUAUCAGAUCAGGAAUUCUGGCAAAUUGAAAAGAAUCAUGCAGACGAUUCUUUCAUUAGGAAACGCUUUGAACCAGGGGACAGCUCGGGGUAAGCUCAAAUUAAUUUCGAUUUCAAAACUUUGCAAUGUAAAAUAUCGCAAUGUCAAGCACAUAGUUCAACACUUUGUAUGCGGCCCAAAUGUGUUUCAUCUACAUUGUCCUUGGAAACCUUUCAUGCCAUACAUGCAACAGAUUUUAUGCUGCUAAUUUGUGCUCAUAUUACCACUCCUUCUAACUGAGCCUAAUAGUUGAUAUUGUAUUUAGGCUCUGCUAUUGGAUUUAGGUUGGAUAGCCUUCUUAAACUGAUUGAGACUCGCGCACGGAACAACAAGAUGACUCUCAUGCACUAUCUUUGUAAGGUACAUUUUUCUGCUUAUUCCCUAUGGACUAUCAUUGUAAUCCAAUUGAACGCAAACUCUUAUUUGUUUGUAUUUGGUCGAAUCUACUUGAUAUGCAUGUCUUGUUAGUCAUGGUCUUUCUUGAUAUGCCAUAGGUACUCGUUGACCAACUACCGGAGGUUCUAGAUUUCUCUAAAGACCUGGGCAACUUAGAACCUGCAUCAAGGGUAUUCUUUUUGUGUCUGGUUCAUAAUCUUCAGGAAUUAUUUGGCAUCUAUUGACUAACAUUUUUGAUGCGUUGCAGAUACAAUUGAAAUUUUUGGCGGAGGAAAUGCAAGCUCUAAGUAAAGGAUUGGAGAAAGUUGUACAGGAAUUAUCCACCUCUGAAAAUGACGGUCCGAUAUCAGAAAAAUUCCGUAAGGUAUGGAUGAUGCCAUUAAAAUGACAAAGGCGAUAUGCAUGCCUUAAAGACUGAUUUAACUACCAAAAGAGUCUAUGGUGAGCACUCGCUCCUUGACUAAUAGUUUCUCUUUUGACCUUUAGAUUCUAAAGGAGUUCCUCCGUUUCGCUGAAGGUGAAGUGAGGACUUUGGCCUCACUGUAUUCUACCGUAGUAAGUCUUGGUCCGAUGAGUACUGUUUCAAGGUUUCGUAAUGUUGGAUAAGUAUUAUUAACACAGAGCUGCAUGAUACAGGGUAGAAAUGUAGACGCAUUGAUCCUUUAUUUCGGAGAAGAUCCCGCUAAGUGCCCUUUUGAACAAGGUACUCAUUUAAGAUUUGACCUUGUGUUUAGGACCUUCUAUUCUGUUAGUGGUUGUUCCCUGUCGUUCACAACUCUCAACACGAGCCUUUCAUAACCGGACCGACCAUCUUCCUUCAUAGUGUUUGUGGUUUGCUUAGUCGGCGGUUUACACAGCUCUGAUCGGUUUAAUCGCGGGCUACCUUUCUAACUGCAUCAAUUUUCUGCUGCAGUUGUUACAACCUUGCUCAACUUUGUCAGAAUGUUCAACAAAGCCCAUGAUGAAAACUGCAAGCAAAGUGAGAACGAAAUGAAGAAAGCGGCAGAAAGUGAGAAGCUUAAGAUGGGCGCUUCGAAGGAAUCCGAACGAUUGUUGCGUACUCCGAUCCAGAGCAGCAACGUCAAAUGAUCGGGUUUCUAAAUCCGACGCGUUCAUCAUCGUGGACGAAAAAAUAUAACAUGAACACAGGUUUGAGCAGAAAGGUUUCUUUUUCGUUUUCUCAUUUUCCCCUUUACAAGGCUAAAUGGGAAAAAAAGUUUUGGUAUUUAAUGCGCGGGAUUAGAAUGUAAAUUAGCGUAGUUUGUACUUGUUUCGCAGAUGUAGGCCUAGAAUUAUGAAUCGACAAAACGUGACGCCGCAAGGCCGAUUUUGUCCUCCGGUCCGGCAUGCAUAUGCAUUUCCUAAACUUUUUUUAUGGAGCGAUGAAAGUUGAGGUUUCACAAUAAAGCUAAUUGACAAUGUAGUCGUUUGCCUAAUUAAUUAUAAGCACAUGCGGUGUGGAAUUGACAGGGUGCAGGAUAACCUGCUCUAAUAACAUGAAAAAGUUGAUGUUCAAUUAUAGAAUCAACUGGCAAUAUAAGUAGUAGUUCGAUUAGCUUAUAAGCACAUGUAAUGUAAGGUCUUUCUUUUUCCGAUGUAGAAUUGAUAUUCUCGACAUGAUAGAGGUCCAAAGCAAUACAUCAGUAGGGAACUUGUGCGACGUUAGAUUGCAGCAGUUUCUUUCAUUGAUAUAAAUAAAUAGAAGAGGAAUUUGUGAUAGUUCCUUCAGUUUUCUUAAAAUUUUGUACGUUUAAUUUACACUUUUGAAAUGUGGGUUGCACUGAAAUUUCGGGAUCCUGUGCAAAAUUUAUAAGGAUCUCUUUUUAAGAUAUAUAUAUAUAUAUUUUAAGUAUGACAAUAUAUUGAUACUAGAAAAUAAUAACUUAAAUCAAAACAACCUUUAAGACUCAAUGAUUGUAAGUUUACAAGUGUCAUUAAAUAAGUAAAAAGAGUUAUAAACAUAAUCUUCAUUAAAUAAUAAAAAAAAGUUCAAUCUUAAGCAACCAAAUAAAGAAAAAAAAGCCUUUAAAAACUCUAACUUUAGAGUUUCACUUGAAUGUAUAGCAUUAUUAUAUAAUUAAUAAAAUUGAAAAGAAAAUCGUUUUUAAGGUGGUGUUAUUAACACUCCUAAUAUCUCAUUGUGCAUUAUAUUUGGAAAGAAAAAAAGAAUUACACUUAUAAAAGUGCACUAUAAGAUUUUAAAGUGCUAAUAAAAUCAUUUUUUUUAAUAUAUAACAUUAUUACAUAUAAAUAUAAGAUACCAAAAAAUUUUGAGGACCAUGUGCGAUUGCACAUUUCGCUCCCCUCAGCGCCGUCUCUGGUGGGUUGGACUAGUUGGUCGAGCUUUCCGCCCUUGCAUGGUCGUACUCAAGUUUGAAUCCCUCUGCACCACUGUAAUCGUUCUUAAUAUUUUAGUUUCCUUUUUGAAGUUUUGAUACCAAGAAACGAUGGUUGGCCUGUCUGAUCUGUGUUCGAUCCACCUAUAUUAACUAACACUUGUUUGUUGGAGUUGGUCGCUGCUGUUUUGUAUAAUCAUACUUGUGAUCUACAAGUUAGGAACAAAGUUUGCAUUACUUAAAUCGAAUUUUAUCAAAUUCUGGGCUCUUAGCAUAGCUCAUGAAAUGACAACAAUUACGUCGCGGACUAAUGAUUUGUGGACAAUACAAUUACUUUGCAGACUAAUUGUAUAAUGACAUGUGAUGUUCCACUUUAUAUUCCAAACACACUGAAAUCUCUCGAGAUUUCUCUCGUCAUGAUUAAUGAUGUGAGAAUCCGUUCUAACUUCUCAUAGCUAAGCAUCAGUGUGGAUUGAGACAUUUGAUUCAUAACUUCAAUAAGCUAACACUUUAUGUUUUUUUUUUUCUUCUCAUUUCUGUUGGUCGCUUUCUGGUUUAAGGAUUGAACCAAUACACCUACUACAAUGGAAAGAGAGCGACGUGACUUGGUUGUCACGUUUUUUCCACAUUAGGCUUUAUCGUUGCAACGAAAAUGAAAGCAACAAAACCUUACGAGAGUAACUACUUAUUAAUAUUUGUGAUUCGAUUCCACUAAAAAAUUACAGACUUGCUCAUAAAAACAACCAAUGCACAUUUAUUUCUUAUUCGACGUCCUCGAUCAUUUAUGAAAUUUAAACUCAAAUUUAAUAGUCAAAAUGUAGGUAGGGUAGAGAGAGCCUUGAUCAACAAAAUGCGACUAUUGUGGACCAAAAAUACUUGUCCGGUCAAAACUAUAUAGUAUAAUAAUAAAAAUGUAGAUAUCGUAUCGGUCGUUGGCACGUGCGGCUUUAGCUGUACCAUCCCCGACAGUAUGUCUUGUGAGGUGUGUGUGUGGAGCCCGAGCAAAUCACGUGCCCGCAACGUUACAAAGAUGCAGGGGAUUGAUUCCUUCUUCUCUUUCAAUCCCAAUAUUUACAUUUUGUUUUUCCAUUUUUUAACUCUAUUUUUUUCUGUGCCACCAAAUCCCCGUAGAUUGCAACGACGUCCAUCUCCUAGGAUUCUCGCUGGAUUCUUUUUAUGAAGAUCUUGAAAAACUUUUAAUCAUAUCUUUUCAUUGUACAUCAUACGAUUAAAAAAUAUUUAAAAUUGAACAUAAUCAUCUGACGAAAACUGAUCGUAUGAUCUACGGUAAACGUAAUUAAAGGAUCUUCGGGAUCCUCACAAAGAGAACCCGACAAGGAUCCUAUCUCCAUCUCCCUCCUCUCCAACUAUUUAAAUACAUAUUUUCACAAAUUACGGUGCACAAAACAAAGUCGAUUAUUAACAUUAAAAAUUAGCGAGCCAAUGAGUUUGUAAUUCAGUUCAUUAUUUGAAUUUUCGAGUUUAAUUUUCCUCUUGUCACUUAGUUGCACGACAUUUGAAUUUUUGAGUUCAAUUUCUCCUCUUUUACCGCAAUAGGUUAAAAAUAUUCUCCAUUUUAUCCGAAGUUUCGAGUUUGAUUUUCCGUUCCUUGCACGACACAGAAAGUCUCGAAUUCCAUUCUCCCCUCUUGUACUUUGAAUUAAAAAAAUAAUAAAAUAGGAAAUAAAAUGGGUGUGUGUCGGUGCUUUUUUUAUCCUUUUUCUCAUCCUUUAUCUUUGUCUUUGGACCCGGCGGUGGCGGGUGAGAGUUUGUUGGGAAAUUGGCUGUAACAUUACGUGUCGCGGCCUGAGUGCAGCAUUACGUAUCAUAUGGACUCACACGCCGAUUCCAAAAAUGGUGGUGGGCCCACGACGAAAAUGAUAAAUGUUAUUUCCUACCCUACCCCAGUAAUAAAAUGAAUUAACUAAAAAUUAAUUAGUUAUUAUUUUUUUAAUGAAGUUACUUGUUUUUUGUUAUGUAUAUAUAUGAUUAAGAUAAACGACGUAUUUAUUUAAAAUAAAUGCUAAAGAGAUUCUUUCAAAAUGGGACCUUUACGACAUUCCACCAUCGUAUUUUUUAGCACAAUUCUCAGGAUAACAUCUUAAAAUAUAUUGCUAGGUAUAUGAGGUGACGGAUAUCCCAUGAAGGGUCUCAUUUGUAUUUAUUCUAUUUAAAAAGUUAUGAGUUGAGCCGAGCACCUAGUAGCGUGAGCUUGUAAUUAAGUAGGGCUUUAAGAUGUUUGAUGGAAGUGGAGCCCAACCCAAGUGGGUAAAAGUGUUUGAAAUCUAUUUAUAAACCAUGUCACUUAGUAUUAUGAUUUAAUGAUAUUUUUCCUAAUUUGUAAGUGAUAGGUCUUAUGUUCGAUUAUGGUCAAAGGUGAAUUUGAACCACAUUAUUAUUAGUUUAUUAUAAGACUAACCCACCUCCUAUUCCUAAUGUAAAAAAUAUCGUUUGUUAAAAAAAAAGUUAUGAGUUGAGGAAAAAAAACGAGUAUGAAAUUAAAAUAAUCUUUUAAUUAUAAUUACAUACAAUGCAUUUAGAUGUUUUGUGCUUCCUUUCGUUGGUGUUGGAUUCCAUAUCGGCAUCAAUCAGUCAGAAGCCAAACAUCAUUGGGAUGGCCUUGUCCUUUCAAAUUAUUAAUAAUUAUUAGUUUAGAUAAAAAUUAAUUUGCAUAUCCUUUGUUGUCGUUACCUCCUGCCAAAGUGGAAUCAAGAUUCUAAAUCCAUGCGGCACUUUAGUUAAGUUCCCACCAAAUAUAUAAUUAUGGUAAAUGUGGCUUAAGCAAUAAUAAUCAAGCAUUAUGUAUUACUUUUUCUAUAUUCAUGAAGUGGGUCAACUGAUUAGGUUUUUUAGGUAGCUAACACCCUUAAUUAUGGCCAUUAUAAAUAGUAAAUAAUGCACAAUGUUGAUUUACAUUGAUUACAAUGUGAAACUAUUUUAUUCUCAAUGUGAAUCGACGUAGAAUAUCGCUUGUAAUAAAGAAACUAAACUCAAAUAACGACAAAGCAUAUGUAGUUUACAUGCUUAAAAACAUUUUAUAUCACAUCUGAAGUUUUGUUUUCGUAUUCUCCGUCUUCAAUAUCACUUGAUAGUCGUACCACAGAUGAGGUCGUCCUUGCAACUGACAAUGUACGAAGCUUCCUCACUUUAGCAUCCCCUUUUGCCCUAUUUUAUCCGAAUUAAGAGGAAAAAGAAGAAAAUUAAAAGAGAAAAAAAAACAGAACGUGCCAUAAUUUACUAGGCACAAAUAAACAUCAUCAUCUACAACACAACACAAAAGCAAAAGAAAAGUGUUUUAAAGUUUCUGCCACUUUUCCGGCAUUGGAUGUGUCAUGUGUGGAGGAGCUUGGCCAAAUUAUAGAGAGCAACUACAAAUUACACGAAUUUAUUGAUAUCGUAACGUCUCAUGUUAAUAAUAUAAUUUUAUUCAAAAAAUAAAAACUUUACACAUAUCAAUAUAUUACUAGCACGAAAUCACUAUAACCGUACCAUAUAAGUAAAGGAAAACUAAUGAAAAUAGCUUGAAAACUUUGAGUUUUAACGAUAAGGAAAAAAUAAAGGGUAAAGUGAAUAGUACCAUGAUUGAUUUUUUAGUAUUAAAAUAUGAUUUUUUGUUAAAAAGAAAAAUAUCAGAAGUUUUUCGUUAAGGCUCUUUAGAAGUAAGUCAUCCUCGAAAUUAUAGGGCUGUGAUGAUUACAUAAAACUAUUGCCACCACCAGAUGCUUCCAAAGUCCACCUCCCUCCCUCUCUCUCUCUCUAAAAUUAGGAUGUAGGAAGCAAGAGUCACCAUUUGCAUGUGAGUGUUGUGAGAGCAAUGACUUUUGGUUGCCUCGGUCACAGUGUCCAUAGAGAUCCUCCAAUCCAAUACAGAAAAGCUACCUAAUCAAGGCUUUAAUAAGGGAAUCAAACACUCCCCCGAAAAAGGAACAAAAGAAAUUACCUUAACACAACCCCUAAUCAUUCAUCCCCACCGAUUUCUAUCCCUCGCCUUUUCACUUUACAUAUCCCUCUCACCACAUUCAACUCUCCUACAAUUACGACGUUUACGGUAUUUUAAAUCAGUCACGCACUGUUAUGUUAAAAAGUUUAAACAUAUAAUUGUGUACAUAGAAUUAUAACACCAUUAUUUUACUUUUGACACGAUAACUUUUUGUGUUCGAUUAUUAGUCUCGGUGAAUUAUCCGGCCCACAAAAUGGUGGCAUCCGGUUUUUUGUGACUAGGUCGGACGGUUCAUUUGAUCCGACUGACGGAACACGACAGAUCUAGGUAAAUUUCUGUGCACAUUCAUACAUUAUUAAUCUAGGAAACAAGAAAAGGAAAACAAACAGCGAAAGAAGAAAAAGGAGGAAUCCGGUGGGUCAGUGACCAGCGCCUUACAAGAUACGACUAAUUAACAGCAAAAUCUAGUACUCGGUGCGUUUGCUAUCUCAAUCGCUUCCCAAAGGCAUAGAGAUCCAAAUGCCUCACGCCCCACCAACCGCCAUUUCUUCUGCUUAAAGCUUUCCAUGGCCCAUUUUACUACUCAUCAUUGCUAGCUAAAAGCACAGGAUUAAUUACCGAGAUAAAAGGCAAUGGACGUGGGAAGAAGGAAGAGCGGUGUGGUUGCAGGCUCAGUGUGGGAGAGCAGAAUGAAGGUUGAUCAAGUUAAAGGCGGGGUUAAGGUCUUCAAUGGCGAUCAGGACAAUGCAGAAGAGACUAGUACUAAUGGGGUUACUGCCGCAACUCGCGCGAGGUUGAAGAGAGCUCCAGCUGGCGGCGGCGGUGCGGCGAGUUCUGGCAAGAGAAAGACCUGGAAAUCUGAGACCUUUGAAGGUUCGGAGAAGAGCCCGAUUCAGAUUUCGAAAGGGAAAACAGAGUCCGUGAAGAAUUCGGAUGAACAGUGCAAGGAGCUGAGCGUCUCUGUCGAUGGAAUCAGGAAGAGCCCAGCUCAGCUGAGGAGGCUUAGAUCUGAGGGAACCAAAGAGAUUGGUGUUUCUGCUGAGAAAAAUGAGAGAAGCCCAAUUGGGAUUAGGAAGCCGAGACGUGAAUUACUGAAAAGUUCUAGUGAUUUGGGUGAGGGAGCUGAGAGGAAUUCGAUUCAGCUGAGGAAGGUGAAAUCGGAGUCGAGCAGGGGAAUUGAUGACCCUUCAGGGAGUGCAAUUCAAUCGGAAAAGCCGAAAUCGGAGCCGAAUAAGGCCUCCGAUGAAUCUGAUAAGGAAAUGGAAUCGGUUGAAUCGGAGUCGAGCAGGGGAAUUGAUGACGCUUCAGGGAGUGCAAUUCAAUCGGAAAAGGCGAAAUUGGAGCCGAAUAAGGCCUCCGAUGAAAUUGAUAAGGAAAUCGAAUCGGUUGAUGUGUCUGUUAAGGAGAUUGAGGAGAACCCAGUUGAGAAUUCUGAGAUUGGAGACGAUGGAUCUGAUGAGAAUUGUAAGGAGUUCGGUGUGUGUGAAGAAAUGGUCGUGAAAUCGAGCGGUGGGAGCAAUGCCGGUGUGCUCAAAUCUGAUGAUGAUCGUAAAGCGAAAGAGGACAAUGACGGAGAUGACGGCGGAGAUGAAUCCGAGGAGGAGGUGGACGAGGAAAUUGAGGUUGAAAUCGAAAAGAAGAGUGUUGACAUCAAGGAAGUCAAUGCAGCACCAGAAGAGAAACCAACGGCCAAGAUUGUGAAAGAAGAAGCGAAGGUGGUGAAAGUCAAUGAGGUGAAGAAGCCGGCCGGUCCGGUCAGAACUGGGUCCGGUCCGGCGCUUCUCCAACUUGAGCGCAGAGAAGUGAAAAAGCUUCUUCAGAAGCCGCCGGAAUCCAUUUCCUUGAACUUGAAGAAAUCACCAGCUCCUGUUAUAAAACGGGCAACUGUUUUUCCAAAGGUCCCCAAAUAUAAUUACACUUCAUGUAAGUUUCUUGAUUUCUUUUGAAUUCUACAUCUGCAUAUUUCUCGAUUUAUGCUUGUCAUCCUUUCGCACUAAUCUUCUCUGUAUCGUUCCAAUUUAUCAUUCUUUCUUGAGAGAACUCCCAAUUUGCAUAUUGUUAUUUUAGUGAUUUGGGUUUUGUUGGGAUUGCUUCUUGGUUCUAAUCUUGACCUUUCUUUUCACCAAUUAGUUUCAGCUUCAAAAGAGCGCCACAGCAGCUUCCCAGAAACACACAGCAGAUUGCAAAGUCUAGGUGAGUUUUAAUUCCUAAUUUAUUUCUUAAUCUACGGAGAAGGGAUUCGAAAUUUGGUGUAAUCGGAGGAGCAUAUCAUACUAACCAACCGGUCUAAUCCACGUCUGUUUUCAUCGUUUUAUUUUCUCAGUGGAUUUGAUAAUGUGGAAAGAUAUAUCAAGAUCAGUUUUUGUGUUUGGAAUUGGAACAUUUGUGAUACUAUCAUCCUCCUACACAAAGGAUAUUAACAUCAGGUCAGUUUAAUCCUCAUCAAAAUAAAUUAACAAAAAAAAAAAAUAAAUUCUGCAUUUCCUUCCUCUAAAUCUAAUUAAUCUUACUUAAUCCUUAUUCCUGCAGCUUUAUUUCUGUAAUAUCCUAUCUUGGGCUUCUUUAUCUAGCUGCCAUCUUCCUCUUUAAGUCCAUUAUUUGCAGGUAAUUUACUUUUCACUUUUAUACACAUACUAAGAUUAUUUUUUUGACCACCCUUUUGCUUUAAUUUGGAAAAUUAAUAUUUCAGGGGAGUUUUAGAAGUAGAUAAUACAAAUUAUGUAGUGGGUGAGCAAGAAGCAAUUUGGCUGCUAAGACUGGUUCUGCCUUACUUGAAUGAGUUCCUGCUGAAGCUCAAAGCUUUGUUCUCUGGUGAUCCUGCCACCACAAUUAAGGUACUUUCUAUUUUUUUUUCCUUCCUUUUAUUUAUUUAUUUAUCUAUUUUUAUUUCUGAUAAUGUUGAUACAAAAAGGUUGGUGAUGUAUAUUGUAUCUUUUGCAGUUGGCAGUGCUGCUCUUUGUUUUGGCCAGGUGUGGCAGCUCCAUUACCAUUUGGACCAUGUGCAAAGUGGGUAAGUCCCAAUUUUUGUUCUCUCGUUAUAAGUUGAGCUAGUCAGUUGGUUAGGACAGUCAUGCCGUCUCUUUGAACUUACGCUUAAAUCUUUUUCCUCACACAUUAGAAUAGUUUACAGUAUGUUAAAGAUGAGCUAGGUCAGUCGGUUUAGAUAGUUCAUGCUGCCUCUUUACGCUUACGUUCAAAUCUUCUUCCUCACAUAUUAGAAUAGAUUAAAAUAUCACCUUAUAGCGAUAACAAUGGAUUAGCAUGAAAAUUGGGUUUUUUCUUAAGUUUACAUUUUACAAUUUGAUCAAUGGUAGUGCUACUCACACAUCUCUUUUUACUUUUUACAAACCGUUAUUAAUUUUUGUCAAUUGAUCUUAUUCAAUUCAUUCAAUCCGCCAACUAAAAAUUAAGAGAAAUGUGUAAAAAAUAAAAAUAGGUGUAUAUAUAACACACACUUAAAUCAAGGGGAACACUAAAGUGAAUGAACUAGGAGAAGGCUGUGUUCUGUUUUUAUUGUCAUUUUCGAAUCCGGAUCCUCUUUGUGAGGAUCCAGAAAUCCGUGAAUCGUGUCCGUUCAUCGUACAUCGUUCUGUCAGAAAUUAUUUUAAAUAUUUUUAUUUAAAAUUAAACACAAACAGUACUUGAUAAAAACUGACUGCACGAUAUACAAUGAACGGACACGAUUCACAGAUCCCCAGGAUCCUCACCAAAAGAAUACGGAGAGGAUAAUGUUGGGUUGUUUUCAACCCCACAAGUGCGAUAAAUUUUUAGUUGUGACGGAAAUACGAAUGGUACACCAUGUGUUUUUAUGUAAGUGGUGAAAAAUUUUAUUUGUUAAGUUAUUAACUUUUUAACACACUUAUUCUACUAUUUAUAUAACGACACGUGAUGUACCAUCGCGUGUGACACGGUCACAUUGAAGAAUCUCUUCACAAGUGCAGCCAAAACAGAGAGACAAGUGUGAAAAAUUCUCUGAAAACUCAGACUUCUGAUCGUUAUUUUAACUUUUUAACUGACGAUGUGGACUUGUUCGUGCAACAUGGCAGGCUUUUUCGGAGUUUUCACCCUACCCAAACUCUGCUCUUUGUAUUCUGCCCAGAUAACCGUCUACGGUAAAUUUCAUUCAUUCCUCCAAUUAUUACCCUUGUGCCCCUUUUUAUCAACUUAUUUUUACUCCAUGCAUGUAUUAGUAUUACUACGUCACGCACUUCUUCUACGAUAUUCGCACCGGCAUUUUGAUCCAUCUCACAUUGCAUACACGCACAUAUUAUGUCCAAUAAAUUUGUAGUAAACUCGAAAGAAAUAUGUAACCGGAUGUAUAUUUUUUUUCGGCACGGUUAAAAAUCUCCUAUAAACUCACCUACCCUUUAAAAUUGUAAUGGAUCUGUAUCUGGUAGUUUGAUGAUGGUCCCUCACUCUCCCUAACGUGGAAUUGAUUGGUCCCCACACCCCCACGUUAAUGAAAACGAUAUCCAUUAUGGUAUGGUCCCACACAAAUAAGUCUAUGAAUUAACAUUAUCGUAAGGUCCCAUGAACGACUAAAAGUUGAAGCAAAUAAUGGGCUUCAAUCCUUAUGGGCCCAACUGUGUUGGAUUUAUGGUCUAAGCCCAAUGGAUCUGUUAUAGUUUUCACUAUAUUAAUAUUUAAACGAAGAAGUGAUUUCCACACGUACAUAAUGACAUAUAUAUUUUUUCUUAUGUCCACGAUCGUUUAUUUAUGGUUGUUGGUUUGAAUUAAUUAAAGGAGAGUCCAUCGUAGUAUCAUAAAUAUGUUUCCAACUAUAAUUGUAAAGCAUAUGCGUGCUUGUUCCUUUUGACCCAAGUUCCGAAUCUCCUUCUCCGAACGUAUUUUCAGAAGAGAGCUAUAAUUAUUUUAUAGAGCCUUCACAAGCUCAAUGUGUCCUAACAAUGUAUGCUUUGGUAUUGACGUGAUCAGCUAAAUUUUGGGUUCGGCGAUUUCGGGAUGCAUGGGAGUCAUGCACUCACAAGAAACCAUUGACCAUUGCCAUUUUUCUACUGGUUUGGAACCUCUCUUCUGUCGUCGCUCGAAUUUGGGCAGGUAUGUUAAACAAGUCCCAACGCUUCUACGCGUAGUGUCUAUCAUUUUUUCUAGUAAUUGCAAAAUCACAGUGGCUCUCCCUCUCCAUUGUUUACGAUAUAAUUAUGAAACCGAGCAACGUUUUUGCAGCGUUUAUAUUGCUCGUGGCCUUCCGGUACUAUCAGCAGAAACUGGUGGCGGAGGAGUGGGCGGAAGAAUCAGAUGAUGCCGCUGCAGGAGGAGGAGGAGGAGGAGGAGGAGCUCAGGAAACCUGGGAACAAGAAGGAGGACAAAGACAAGGGCAUGUGGAUAUUACCAAAGAAAAGAAAGGAUUCUAGACUCUAGGAUUAUACAUAUUAUAUACCGUAUGUUGUGCUCAAAUCAAGUUUUUUAAGUGUCUGUUUUAUUCUGGUUUACUGUAGAUAGCUAAAUAUCUUUGAUUAGGGACAUUGUUUAAUCCCAGCUUGUGACCAAUAAUUACUUCACUUAAUGUACUUUGUAGCUCUUACGAAUAUAUAAAGGAAAAUAAAUGAAAAGUUUGGUUUUCGUUGACUACUCUUAUUAUCCAUUCCAUUGGUGUUAUUGGUGGUGGACCUUGCGGUCGUCUCGUCAUUAAGAUUGCUAAGUUUCUAAACACUCCUUAUUUGUGUACUUUAGGGUUUUUUACUACUGGUUCAUGGUUGGUGUGAUAAGGGCUCGUGUUUAGAGUGUUCAGACGAGUAAUCCUUUAAAAAAUGGUCAUGUGUGGAUUUUGACAGAUAAAUGGUAGAGAUUGACGUAAAAGAUGACAUUGAUGCAGGAGAAUGGACAUAAUAUUGAUCGAAAUAAAAAAUAAAACGAAAAUAAUGAAUUCGGAAUAUUACAUGAGCCAUUUGUGAUGGAAAUCCUAUUUUUAUGUUGAGGAUUAUGUGUGCAAGUUGCAAUUUGUGCAUGUCGGAGCAUAACUUGACCUUUACUGUGUAGGAAAUCUUAGUGUACGACCGUCGGAUCACGUCAAGUGUCAACUUGAUGGCACGCCUCAUUCCAAUCUUUGGAAGGAGGCCUGAACCCAGUUACAAGUGUGUUUUUUGAAAUUUUUUUGUCGAUGCAGUCGAUAUUUUAAUUGAAAUAUCGAAAAAAUUAGAUAAAGAUAUGAAAAAGGGAGGUGAAGUUUAAACUUUACAUGAUAUUUAUUAAAUUUCGUUAAAAUCAACAUAUUUUCUUGAUAUUUUCGACAUAUCGGUUAAAUAUUGACUAUAUGACAUUCACUAAAAUUUAUUUUAAGUGUCAAUAUUAUCAAAAAAAUUUCCAUCAUUUUCAUCAAAGGCAAUCGAUACCGAUAUCAAAGGCAUAUCGAAAAGCACUUAAACAGAUCGAGACGGGACCUAAAAGAGGAAAAACAUUUGGACGGUGUUUUUUCUUUUUAGUUUGUAAAGCCCAAAUGCGCGGCCCGAAAUCUCGAACCCGUUACAUAAAAAACAGAGAGCGCGAGCCUCACGGCGGCAAACGGCAAAACCGGUAACUAUUUUUUGUUUCGGAAAUUCAAACCAGUGUUCGGAAACGAAGAGAGAAACCCUAGAGAGCAUUGUCAGUGUCAGUAUGCGUUGACUACAACACAGAUACAGUCGUCAGAGCCGGAAAGGACGAAGGAAGACGCCGAGGAGUGCUGGGAAAUGAAGGAUUCCCAGUCUCUCGCGUCGCGGUGAGGAAUUUGAAUGGGUUUCCAAGUCUAGCUUCAAUUAAAGGCAAAUUCCUGCAAAUUGUCGGAUGGUAUGGAAUCAAUCCAUGAUGCUGAUUUCGUUUCACAGUGAAGAAGAAACUGGACUUUGGAGUCUGAGCCAAGAAUUGAGAUUCCUCUGGAAUUUUGUUUGAGUGAUGAACCUUUUAUGGUGGCCACUGAUGGACAUAGUGUCUCCUAUAAUGUACGCACGCAAAAGCUCAAAUACCUUCUUUUUUAUGGAAUUGAAGAUAAUCCAUGUACUGAAGUUGUUGUUUAGGUCGAGAUCAUUGUUUCUGUCAAUGGAGACAACAAGUUUAAGGGCGCAGAUCCAAACAGACUCUCUGCAAGGUAUGCAAUGCUUCCCUUUCUGUGGUUUUGCAUUUGUAACAUAAUUUGCAUUCCAAUUUCAAUGCAGACACCUUUCUUUGUGAGGUGUUGUUUGUUCCCUUCAGAUACACAUGAUUAUAAGAUAGUAAUGUAGAACAAUUUUGCCUACCUUACAAUUAUUUGCAACUAGAGAGAGGUUCUCUACUUUAAUCAAUUACUAAGUUGUUUUUUCCCUUUCAGGAGUGUGCUUCUCUCACAUGAAACAAGGUUAAUUAGGUUUUUUAUUUUAAUUCGUUUACAGUUUUAUCAACUUGGGAGCAGCCUCUCCAUAAAUGGGGGUAAGGCUAGCCGACAUUCACCUCUCCCAGACCCUGCGUAAAGCGGGAGCCUUGUGCACUGGGUACGACAGUUUUAUCAAGAGUAGAUGCAUGUGCAUGCUCUUAUGUUUUUCCCCAUUUACUUAAAUCUUUUAAUUUUGGUUGCCAUGUGACACUUAUGUUAGGUCAUUUUUAGAAGAGGCCAGUGCACAAUGGGUGAAUGAGCCUAUGCUCUGAAAAUGGCGUAGCUGCUUGAUCCUAGGCAAGAGUACUUUGGUGAUAAAGUGGUUUCAUGUGAUGAUGGCACCCAAAAACAGAAAAAAGGGUUGUGCUUGGACAAGAAUAUGUUGUUUCGAUCCUUAAUGAUACAGAAAAAGUAAUUACUUGAUUCCCUUGAUGAUACUGAAAAUUAGAGGUGCUAUAGUUAAUAUGUGUGAACAACACAGCUCUGGAACCAGCAUGUACCUUAUUGGAUUAAGGCUAUAUUUUAUUACAUGCACUUGAAGUUCACCCCAAACUCAGAAUGAAGCUCAUACCAGACCGAGUUCUGCUACCCAUGCUGUUUUGAUUGUUGAUGAUACAGAAAAUUUAAGUAUUUGAUUCCCUUGGUGAUACUGAAAAUUAGAAGUGCUAUGUUUUAAUAUGUGUAAUGUAAGCAGCACAACUCUGGAACCAACAUGUACUUUAUUGGUUUUCUGGCUAUAUUUCAAUACAUGUACUUGACUUUGGUAAUUAUUAAUUUUGUGUGGUGCAGGUAGAUGCAAGUUCAGCCAAAACUCAAAAUGAAGCUCCUGGGCUGAGUUCCGCAGCCCAUGCUGAAUCAGUAAGUGAUGCUGUACAUUUUCUCAUUAUUUCAUUUAUUGCGUAAUCACACAACCCAGUUUAGACCGAGUGAGUGUUUUUGUUCAUUUAGGGGAAGAGGUAGACCAAUGGGCAGAGGAAAAGGGAGAGCCACAGGCAAAGGCAAUGAAACUCAAUUUGCAUCUUCUUCUCGAACACUAAGUGAGAGAAUCGUACAUGCAAAAUUUACUUUGUUAACUAAGGCUUAGUUUGACAUUUUUGUUGUGGUUUCGUGCUAAAAGGAAGAGGAAGAGGCAGUCAAGCCAUGUCAUCAUCAAGGCGAAUGGAGUUCACACAGCAAUCUGCUGUAUUGCCAUCACCUUCACAAACUGUGACAAGAGGAAGAGUUCAAGGCGGGGCCAAUGUAGCAAUGGCAACUUCACAAGACUUGCCCUUCCGACCAUCAACUUCGGUUAAUGCCAAGCCCAGGGGAAGAUCAAAACACUUCAUUUGGAAACCAUGAAGUAUAGAAUCUGCUGUUGGAGUUGUGCAACUGAAAGCAACCUGAAGAGAGUUCCUUGUAAGUACUAACCAUGUCCUUGUUGUGCAUAGUUUGAAUAGUUUACUCCUCUUGUCUAGUUUAGACCAGUUCCUCUCAAGCUUACUUUAUCAGCAAUCCUCGACAGUAAAUUGAGCCGCCAUUUAAUAGGGUAUCAUUGUCUCAUAAAUCAUUAAAGUAUUGAAUGUCGUUUUCGAUGUGAACUAACUUUUGAAUUUUUCAUUAGGCCAAAAUAGAAAUAUGAUUUCUGACUAGUCUCUCUGAUCAUAUGAACUUUUUAUGUUGUCUAAAAGUUAGGAUACCAAAGAGUGGCUACUUUGAGCUUGUAUAUAUAGAAUACGGUGCCAAAUUUGCUCAAUGCCACAAACUCUAAUCUCUUUCCAUUACAGAUUGCAGCUUCUGAAUGAAUAGAGCUGCACCAAUUAUAAAGUCGAGCCCCAACUCUGACCAUUAUCAGCCUUGCAAGGCCUUAACAACAACAUUCAUUAAGUAGUUUUAAUGAAGCAUGUUUGGAAGCUGCAUUCAGUGGGCUUUUGAAUGGUAAGUUUAUUGCUUAAUUAUUGGUAAGAAAUAAUUAAAUGCAUAGACUAAUUAUGGUUAGUCUUUUAAACAUGUGGCACAAUCUGGAGGGAGGUAAGGCUACACAAUGGUUAGGGGGUGAGUAAAAAUGCAUAAACUAACUCUUGACUGACUGGCUUAAAUUCUGUAAAUUAGGACAUCUAUAGUCCAUUUGGAAAUGCUUCUCUAAGAAACAGUUUUUCUGGAAGCUUUUUAUGGUAUAUCCAUGUAGAAAUGAAGAACAUUAAACUUAUAAUUAUGCUGAACACUGGGCAAGCCAAAUUUAAAUAGUGUGUUGCUAUUCCUACCUGAUGUCAUGUCCUCAACCACCAUUAGGGAAAAUCUUAACAACAAAUUUAUUCAUUCAUAAAUGACCUUGAUACCUUUUAUUUAUCGUAAUCUAGCCAACUCUGUACUCCCACAUAGACCUAGUAAACCUAUAUUAUUUCCGCCCCAUCUUCUUUAGUUGGAUGCAGUGCUCCAAAUAAAUCUUUUCAAGGGAUCUUCUCUCGUUGCAGAUUAUUGAUCACCAUGUUUUCUUUUCUUUAAUUUCCAUUGUUUAAAUUAAUCACGACUGACACUAACAUAAAGCUUCACUUGAGUUUUGGUUUCUCUAUACAUAAAGAAGAGUAAUUCGCCGAUUCCCCCCCCCCCCCUAACUUGUAUCCCAUUGCCAAUAUUACCCAUAAAGUUUUAUUGUUGCCAGUUUCUUCCCUAAAAGACUAUGAAUGACCAAUUUCUCCCUAUCUUCAAAUUUAUCCAAAUUGCAUUCAAAAAGUAGCAUGUUGGUCAUUAAAUCUUCUAUUAUGUUUGUUAUAUUUUCUUUCUUAAUGUUGUUAUUAUUAAUUUUGAAAUGUGACAUUUUCAAUAGAAGGUUUAGAUGAAAUGCGGGGAAACAUGGCCGUAUGGGAAAAUUGGCCAUUUAUAUUAAUUUAUUGGGAAAUUGUCAAAAUACUCUUGAUUUAGGAAACUGAUAUCCGCACACCCCAUUCCCCCACCUACAGACCCCUGUUUAUUUAUGUUCCUUGAUUCUCCUUUUGAUUUAUUUAGUAUAAUAUCCACAAAUAUAUAGGGUGUUAAAAAAAAAUGGUGCGCGGGAAUCAUGUCCUAUAUAUAUAUGGAUUAUUGUUCACUUCUUUCUUGAUAUAAAUUGUAAUGUAAAGUAUGUUCUCGAGACAGAUAAUAAAUGGCAUCCACAUUUGGACCAUUUUUUUUCCUUUUUAGUUUAUAUAAGUCCAAUGGGUCCCCCGAACCGUUCCAUCAUCAAACAGCAGCAAAAGAAGAAGAACAAACCCUAGAGAGAAAUAUCAGUAUGACUGAGCUUUGACUAUAACAGAGAGAUUAGUCAGAGCCAAGCGGAAAGAAGCAACUAGUGUUUGGAAAUGAAGGAAUCUCAGUUGCUCCAAAGAGGAAUUUGAAUGGAUUUUGAAGUUUAAUCAAUUUCUCCUCUUGGACUCGGCACAAUCGGAAAUCCAAGGUAAGAUUUCCCUUGAUCUUGCUCCAUCAUUGUUCUGCCUUAUUUAAUUUGCUGAAAAGCAUAAAAGGAAACGUAGAAGAGGAGAAAUUAAUUAAUUAGUUCAUGGCAAAGUCGAGUAAUUUGACGGAUGAUAUGGUGGUGCAAAUCCUGUCUCGAUUACCACCAAAAUCUUUGAUGCGAUUCAAAUGCGUCCACAAGCUGUGGUGUGAUCUAAUUGAUAGUCCUAGCUUUGUGGCGAGUCACCUUUCUAACUCGAAUUUGAAAUCGAAAUCAGAUUCCUCCACCAGCAUUGUUGUAAAACAUACUGUUAAAAAUGUGGAGGAUGAUAGGAAGCACGUUUUAUUGUCAUUGCUUAAUGUUUGCAAGGAUGUUAGCGACGAUGAUGACCGUGUUGAGGAUCUUGGUGCUGUGUAUCCUUUGCUGAGUAUAUCUUCCCCUAAUUUUGAAAUUGCGGGUUAUUGUGAUGGGAUUUUUUGUCUAAGUCUUCACUUGUGUCCCGAGGAUAUUGCUUUAGUCAAUCCAGCUAUCAUGGAAUUUCAGUUUCUUCCCAAGUCUUGUCUGCUCCUCCCUCCCCCACAACCAGAUGUUGCUGAUGGAGUGGAUACCAUUACCAAUGCCAUCGGAUUUGGGUAUGAUUCCAAAGCUGAAACAUACAAGGCGGUUAGAAUUGUGAAAUUUUUGCCAGGGCCUAGAAAAGCAGAGGUAUGCACUUUAGGUGCUGAUUCUUGGAGAGAGGUCAAGUUUGAAAUCGAUUGUUCUGUCAUCUGGACACCUUCUUUUUAUUUCUACUUCAAGGGGGUUUUUUAUUGGUUUGCUACGGAUCUCCAUAAUAACGAUUUCAUCCUUACAUUUGAUAUGGGUGAGGAGGUAUUUCGUAAUAUACCAGUUCCGUAUGAUUCCCUGGAGAGAUUUGCAUGGAAUUGCAGCCUUGCAGUAUGGAAUGAAUCCAUUGCUUUGUUUUGCUACUGCAAAGAUGAAGGAACUGGACUUUCUAUCUUUGAUAUAUGGGAGAUGGAUGAUUCUACCGAUGGGGUAAAAAGUCCGUGGAGUAAGAAACGCUUAACAAUCGAAUCUGUACCAAGUAUAGAGAUUCCAUUGGUAUUUUGGAAGAAUGACGAGCUUCUUCUGACGGCCACUGACGGAUGUGUUGUCUCCUUUAACAUACGCACUCAAAAGCUCAAAGACCUUCCUAUUCAUGGCAUUGAAAAUCCACUAUAUAUUCAAGCUGUUCUUUAUGCAGAAAGCCUUGUUUCUGUCAGGGGAGGCAGCCAGCCUCUGGCUAUAGACCCAAACAGAUCCACUGGAAGGUUUGUAAUGUUUUUCCUUCGCGUGUUUUUGCUUUUAUACAUUAAUUAGUGUUUAAAUUUUGAUGUUAUAUACCCGUCUUUGGGAGGUGUUGUUUGUUCCCUCCAGUUCUUCAUUAUAACAAAAUCAGAUGUUGUUCCUGUUGGAAUUUUGCAAACUAGAUAGAGGUUCUCUACUUUUAAUUUUUCUUUUCUUUUCAGUAACAUGCUUCUGAAAGAAAACAAGAUUGUUUAGGUUUUCGUUCAUUCUGAUUCACUUACCUUAUCUUGUGUACAUUCAUGUGCGUGCUCUUAUGUUUUUUUCCCAAUUACUUAAAUCUAGUGUAUCGUUCGAGUUGUACUUUUACCCGAGGCAUGUAUGAGCUUAUGCACUGGAAAUGGCUAAGCUGCUGGAUCUCAGGAAAGAGUACGUUGGGGAUAUCGCGUGAGGAAAAUGUAUGUACUUGUUUCUCUUGUUCUACUUGAAUUUCGUUGUUGUGGUGAAGGCGUAUUUUGAAAUGUUAAUUAGGCUAAGUCGCAAAGACAUUGCUGACUUUGGUUGUUGAUGUUUUCUUCUCUAUCUUACGAACUCUCGAUAUCGUCUUAAAAUUUAGAUUUACCUUUUCAACUUCAUUGUAUGGAAUUUGGUUUUCUGUUUUAAUGGAGCGAACUCUAUUUUCAUUACAGAUUACAUUGCAGCUCCUGUAUUUUAUAAAAUCUAGAGGCCCAGCUCCGAUCAUCGUCAUUUUCGGCAGGCCUUAACCGCAACGGUCUUGUUACAUGUUAUGCCCAAACUUUUGAACUGACCGGCUUAAACCCAUAAUGCUUGGGUUGGCUAAUCAGAAUCUGUUCGUGUCCAAUCUGAUUUCAAACUCGAUUGAGCGGGUUAGAAUGAAGAAAAUAUUUGCCCAAAUUUAACCUGACCUCAAUCCAAUCGUUUAUUGGGUUGGGUUGAUGCAUUUCCGGUCCAUGUCAACCCAAAUUUAACUCCAUUUUAAGCCCAAAUUCAGGGCUGGUUUGGUAUUGCUGUGCUUUGAAAAAAAGCUGCUGUGAGAAUAAGCGGCUGUGCUGUGAGAAUAAGCGGCUGUGAAAUAAAGCCAGUAGAGUGUUUGGUAAAUUUUUUUGUGAAAGUGCUUUUGGAAAAAAAAAAGCAGGAUGAUAGUGUGUCUUUUCAUUAAAGGAGCACUGUAGCUCCGUGUGCUUUGAAAAAACUGGCUUUUUUUCAAAGCAGCAAAUAGCAGCUUCAACUUUUCCUUUGAUUUUCAGCUUAUUCUCACAGCAGCUUACAAAAUAAGCCCUUUUUUUUCAGUUUACCAAACACAAAAAUGACCCUCAGCUUUUUUUCACAGUGGCUUUUUUUAAAAUCACCUCAAUCCCAAACGGGGCCUCACUCAUGCACAUAUUAUCUAUCCCAUUCAUAUUAUUUGAGUCAUUGAUAAGUUUUUGAGUGACUAUAUCUGAAGUUUAUUAGCAGUUUUCAUAUGAAUAAUGAAUGAUACUAUUACUUUUACAUUUCUUUUGGUUGAAGCUUUUGGCAUACGUCUUGUAAUUUAAUUUCAACUUUGCAUGGUUUAAUUAGUAGGCCAAGUUGUCUUCUCUAAUUUUUGUUUGGAUAGUGAUGUAUAAAUGGUAUUUUAACCAAUAUUGGAGUUGUUUGGUUCAAAAUUUAAAAAAUCAUAAAAAAAUACAAUUUUAUAAGAUGAACUCGAUAAGUUGGGUGUAUAGUGUACCCGAACCCAACCCGAGUAAGUCCAAACUCUAUUAAAACUUGAACCCAACUAAACCCCCAUGAACCCGAACUCAACCCAAGCCCGAAUCAUGAAGGUUGGGUUAGGGUUUGGUUGACCAUCCAACUGUCUAAUUUGUCCGAGUUGCAUCCCUAACUUAAGCUAGGACAUUUACGACCUUCAAAUUUCUCUAUAGAAAGAAGUUUUCAAGAAAGUGCUUUUAUUUGAAGCACGUUAAAUCGAUGAGUGAGAUAUGCUUUGUUAUUUGGUUAGGAGUUCAACAACUCGUCGAAAGAGUCUCAUGAUACGAAGAUAGGUUGUCAAGAACAUAGAAGAUUUUUGUUAGUUAGUUGGUCAGGUCUAAUGUGGAUCUCACAUGACAGUAGUUGGAGCUGGCAACUCUUUUAGAGUUCCCUCAUUUGGAAUAUGCGGGUAAAAUAAUCAAGCUGGCUCUUGUGAACAACUUGAUGCACUCAUUUUGAGCUAAAUCAUUUCCACUUUUAGAGAUCACCCCAAAAGUUCAAGUAGUUCUUGAAAAAAAAGACACAAUGAAAGAAAGCAUUGUGUUUCUUUUUUUUUAACUAGAAGCACUCUUAGCUAAAACAAUUUCACCAAAAACAUUAUCAAAAGCGUUUUUAAUUAUCUUAAAAUGCUCCUAAACUACUCUAAAUAUGACCGAGAGAAAACGACUCAUCCAAAAAAGAAUGGAGUGGAAGAUGAUACUUAAUGGAUUGUUAACUUAUUAAACAUGUUCUAGAGUUUGGCAGGUGGAUAUAUUGGUUACCAAUCCUCCAUUUCUCAUCUUAUGAUUGAGCCUAUUAUAUAUAAUGAUACUGAUUGAUGUAUCUAACAUUUCCAUAAUCUCAAAAAAGGACGAGACUAACGAUGAUUAAAGCAAAUUGCCAAGACUGGUAGUUUUUUAUGAGCAUCAUUUACCACGUGUCACAUUUAGAUAUAGCUUGUCAAUUAAUUAGGUUAAUAUAGCACAAAGAGAGGGACUGAUCAAGAAUUAGGCAGAUUGAUUAAAGAAACACGUGGAUGGCCCUGAUGAAUACAACUAUAGAGAAAAAUUCAGAUUAUCAGAUGCGUGGGAGACUUCGUCUUCUUAAACUUGAUUAGCAAAUGAAUGAGUAAUGCUAGAAAAUCACACAUUUAUGCAUUUUGUACACUUGUCUUUAUAAAACCAACUUUCGUUAGCUUCUUAAGAUUUAUGGAUGAAACUUCAAGCGUAAAUAUUAUGCAUCUGCUAGUAUUUUUAUCGUUUUCGUUUUCAUUUUCAAGUGUAAAUAUUCAAUAAAAAUUACUUUUUAAAUUCAAUAAAUAGUUAGGCCGCUUUUAAGAUGGCUUCUAUAUUCCUUAACUCGUACACAGAAGACGAUUGUGAACACGGAAAAUUCCUGAAACGAAAGAGACAAGAAUAACGUGCACAAAAUAAUAUUUGUGUUUUUUAUUUUUGGGGUUACAAUCUCUCUCUAAUUUGAUCAUCUGAUUCGAUCUCCGUAAGAUGUUGAUUUGUGGAUGUGCGAUUGAUCCAAAGGGCCGUUGGGCUUGAUCUAAGGAUGAACGUUCUUCAAGGGCCGUGGGCUUGAUCUUGAAGGUGGAUUUGAUCGGAUCUUCAAGGAGCCGUUGGGGCUUGAUCUUGAGGAUGAGCGUUUCUUCAAGGGCCGUUGAGGCUUGAUCUUGAAUAACGGUGAUGAACGGAUCUUCAAGGGCUUUUGGGCUUGAUCUUGAAGAACAGUGAUGAACGGAUCUUCAAGGGCUUUUGGGCUUGAUUUUGAAGAACAAUGAUUGGAUGUAUGGAUUUGUCGACGUUUGUUGAUCCAAAGGGCCGUUGGGGCUUGAUCUUAGGAUGAAUGGAUGAUGAACGAUGGUGCUUUCUUCAAGGGCCGUCGGGGCUUGAUCUUGAAUUGGUGGAAGUUCUUCAAGGGCCUUUGGGGCUUGAUCUUGAAUUGGUGGAUGGUUGAUCCAAGGGUCGUCGGGGCUUGAUCUUGGAAGAACGAUGAACGAGGAACGAAGAACACUUUCUUCAAGGGCUGUCGGGGCUUGAUCUUGAAUUGGUGGAUGACUGUUGAUUCAAAGGGCCGUUGGGGCUUGAUCUUGGAAGAACGAUGAACGAAGAACGAAGAACACUUUCUUCAAGGGCCGUCGGGGCUUUGAUCUUGAAUUGGUGGAUGAUUGUUGAUCCAAAGGGCCGUUGGGGCUUGAUCUUGGAAGAACGAUGAACGAAGAACGAAGAACACUUUCUUCAAGGGCCGUCGGGGCUUGAUCUUGAAUUGGUGGAUGAUUGUUGAUCCAAAGGGCCGUUGGGGCCUAAUCUUAGGAUGAACAGUUGUGUGGAUUUGUUGAUGUUGUUGAUCCAAAGGGCCGUUGGGGCUUGAUCUUAGGAUGAACAGUUGUGUGGAUGUUGUUGAUCCAAAGGGCCGUUGGGGCUUGAUCUUAGGAUGAACAGUUGUGUGGAUGUUGUUGAUCCAAAGGGCCGUUGGGGCUUGAUCUUAGGAUGAACAGUUAUGUGGAUUUGGUGAUGUUGUUGAUCCAAAAGGGCCGUCGGGGCUUGAUCUUAGGAUGAACAGUUGUGUGGAUUUGUUGAUGUUAUUAAUCCAAAGGGCCGUUGGGGCUUGAUCUUAAGAUGAACAAUUGUGUGGAUUUGUUGAUGUUGUUGAUCCAAAGGGCCAUUGGGGCUUGAUCUUAGGAUGAACAGUUAUGUGGAUUUGGUGAUGUUGUUGAUCCAAAAGGAUCGUCGGGGCUUGAUCUUAGGAUGAACAGUUGUGUAGAUUUGUUGAACACUUUCUUCAAGGGCUGUCGAGGCUUAAUCUUGAAUUGGUGGAAGUUCUUCAAGAGCCGUUGGGGCUUGAUCUUGAAGGAGGAAUUUCUUCAAGGGCCGUUAGGGCUUGAUCUUGAAGGAGGAUUUGACGAAGAACGAAGAGGGCUUUCUUGAUCCUUCGGGAUUUGCUUGAAUUUGGGAGGUUGGAUGCUUGAAAGCUUUAGAGUUUCAAAGCUUCAAGGAUUUUGGAUGUGUGGGGAGUAUUCUCUUCCAUUUUGGGAGUAGAGAAAUGUAUUUGUGAAUUGGUUUCUGAUACCUUGAUGUAGAAGCCUAUUUAUAGGCUUUGAGAAUGAAUCACCACCACAAAAUAUUUUUUUCUUUUCCAAGCACCAUUGCCUAAUUUCCCACUUAAUACAAUUUUAAACUUGAAGUGGUAAUUUUAUGGCCUAAUUUUCCACUUAAUAUCAUUUUAAACUUGAUAUGUGCAUGCUUUGUCAUUGCCCAAAAUGAGAAGAAAACCUUGUUUUGAUCUUCAAUGGAUUGAAAUGUGCUUGCCUUGUCAUUGCCCAAAAUGAGAAGAAAAAACUUGUGUAAUCCUCCAAGGGUAUUUCUUCUUAUUUUGUUGAGUCACACACCAUGUGUACAAUUUGUAUGACACGUGGCAUAUGCCAUGUAUGCUCUGACACGUCAAAAUUUUAAUGCGUUGGUGAACAUUUAUUUCACCGCAAUUUCGAUGUCUACAAAUGCCCCCAUUUCAAGGUGCGUCGUAUACAUGUGCUUGUCACGUGUAGGAGAUGCGUUUUGAAGUCCCUUACUGUAGAUGUCAAUCCAAGGGCCAUCGAGGCUUGAUCUUGAAUUGGGCUGGAGAUUUCUUCAAGGGCCGUUGAGGCUUGUUCUUGGACUUUGUUUGAAAUUUCUUCAAGGGCCGUCGAGGCUUGAUCUUGAAGGUUGAAAUUGGACCACAAGGAGCUUCAUGUGGUAUAUGAUUUUUGGCUUUGGUAGUGGAUGAAUCGGCACGUAUUUGUUUUUACGCUUUGUUGACUUUCCACAGCUUUGAUCUUGAACUGGGUUGGAGGAUUUUUUGGAUUCCUCCAAUUAUUGAUUUUCCACAGCUUAUUCUUGAACUGGGUUUGAUUCAAAUAUGGUGGACGCUUGAUCUUGAAUCGGACUUGUGAUUUCCUCAAGGGCCGUCGAGGCUUGAUCUUGAAUUUCGUUGGAAGCUUCUUCAAGGGCCGUUAAGGCUUGAUUCUUGAAGGUUAACUCAAACACAUGGCAAGUAGGCACGAGGUGAAGGUGACGACUUGUUGCUUUGUUCAAUCUUUCUAAUUCACACCUGAGCAGUUUGGUCAACGGUAUGAUCUUCAAGAUUGAUGGGCUCUUCUUCCAGUUGGUGACUUGAUAUUUAAGGAUUUGAUUCAAGGGUGGUGAAAAGGCACAUGCAGCCCACAACGCCUAGCAAGUCGACCCAAGAAUUUGAGGGUCAAAACGAGUCCUCCACCCAGAGUGAUUGCAAACCUGAUGAUAUGAGAUACUUUUGAUUUUGAAGAAGUAGCGGAUGAAUUGGCACGUGCUUUGUUGUGCUUGUCUCCACAUGCUUCAAUGUAUCAUUUUCCCUUGUCUUAUCUAUUCUUCUGGCAGAAUGUAGCAUCUUCUCGAGUUCUUCAGCUCAGACUCCUUCUGCUGAGCUGACUGUGCAGGCUGCAUUCUUCUCUGCUUAUUUCUUCAGGCAGAUGUGGUAGCUUCUCGGAGUACAGCAGCAGUGGGAGACGAGUACUCGAUAGCAGUGCUAGGUAAGCAAUCAGGGAAGGGUUCCAAGCAGUCGGUUCCUUACCCGAGUUUGAGUGGAGGUUCCAGCAUAUUGUUUUCUUUAUCCUUAUCUUUGUAGGUAAGAACAAGGACAAAGGAAAGGACAGGGAGAACACAUGAUAUGAGAUACUCUUGCUUUCUACCCUGGUGAUAUAAGAUACUUUUGAUUUGGAGUCAUUUGUUUGCAAAGGUACCCCAAGGAAUAAGAAAUACUGAGUGACUCGAGAGGCUUCAUUGGGAAGGCAUUCUCGGAGAUGAAGAAAGGUUAUGUAUGUCUGCCUUGCUAUGGAGGGUGAAGGUGGACAGUUAUAGGAAAUUCUUUAGUACCUGUAGAGGUAUUAUUCUUUUACUUGUGUCGGCAACCAAUGCGUGAUUGAUCAGUAUGGCUUCACGUGCUUUCUUCUUUAUCAGAAAUCUUCGACAAAUUGUCCGUAAUUUUCGUCAAGCUGAGUGUGCAUGUGACAGGUGUUGACGAGGCUGAAAAAGACUAGCGCCUCUUCGAUAUCUGGGAUCGGCGCUUCGACAAAUUGCCCGUGAUUUCCGCAAAGCUGAGUUUGCGCGUGACGGGUGCUAACGCGUCUGGAAAAGCAAGAUGCUUCUUCGAUUUCUGAGCUUGCCUCUUUGAUUUUUGAAUUGGCCUCUUCGAAUUCUGAGCUCGCCUCUUCGAUCUUUGAAAUCCCGUCGAGUGUUGAUCUUUUAUGCUCGUGCAAACCAGGAGCGUUGAUGUCGCCUUUUAUGCUCGUGCGGGUCAGGAGCGUUGAUGUUGCUUUUUAUGCUCGUGCAGACCAGGAGCUUUGUGUCAUGCAGUUUAGACUCGUGCGGGCAAGGAGCUUUGGUUCGUGCAGUUUAGGCUCGUGCGAACAAGGAGCAUUGGUUCGUGUAGUUUAGGCUCGUGCGAACAAUGAGCAUUGGUGUUGCCUUUUAUGCUCGUGCAGACCAGGAGCUUUGUGCCAUGCAGUUUAGACUCGUGCGGGCGAGGAGAAUUUGUGAAUUUUGUCUCUUGAAUCGGACUUGUGAUUUCUUCAAGGGCCGUCGAUGCUUGAUCUUGAAUUUGGCUGGAAGCUUCUUCAAAGGCCGUUGAGGCUUGAUUCUUGAAGGUUGCCUCGAACACAUGGCAAGCAGGCACGAGGUGAAGGUGACGACUUGUUGCCUUGUUCAAUCUUUCUAAUUCACACCUGAGCAGUUUGGUCAACGGUAUGAUCUUCAAGAUUGAUGGGCUCUUCUUCCAGUUGGUGACUUAAUCUUUAAGGAUUUGAUUCAAGGGUGGUGAAUCGGCACGUGCAGCCCACAACGCCUAGCGAGUCGACCCAAGAAUUUGAGGGUCAAAACGAGUCCACUACCCAGAGUGAUUGCAACCCUGAUGAUAUGAGAUGCUUUUGAUUUUGAAGAAGUAGCGGAUGAAUCAGCACGUGCUUUGUUGCACUUGUCUCCACAUGCUUCAAGGUAUCAUUUUCAUUUCCUUUAUCUGUUCCUCAGGCCGAUGUGGCAUCUUCUCGAGUUCCUCAUCUCAGACUCUUUCUGCUGAGUUGACUGUGCAUGCUGCAUUCUUCUCUGCUUGUUUCUUCAGGCAGAUGUGGCAGUUUCUUGAGUUCCUCAGCUCGGACUCCUUUUGCUGAGCUGACUGUGAAGACUGCAUUCUUCUCUGCUUGUUUCUUCUGCACGUUGUCUCCACAUGCUGCAAGGUAUCAUUUUCACUUGCCUUAUCUGUUCUCCAGGCAAAUAUGACAGCUUCUUUGGAAGUACAGCAGCAGUGGGAGACGAGUACUCGAGAGCAGUGUUAGGUAGGUAAUCAGGGAAGGGUUCCAAGCAGUCGGUUCCUUCCCCGAGUUUGAGUGGAGGUUCCGGCAUAUUGUUUUCUUUAUCCUUGUCUUUGCAGGUAAGAACAAGGACAAAAGAAAUGACGGGGAGAAAGCAUGAUAUGAGACACUCUUGCUUUCUACCCUGGUGAUAUGAGAUACUUUUGCUUUUGAGUCAUUGGCUUGCAGAGGUACCCCAAGGAAUAAGGAACACUGAGUGACCCGAGAGGCUUCGUUGGGAAGGCAUUCUCGGAGAUGAAAAAAGGUUCUCCAUGUCUGCCUUGCUAUGAAGGGUGAAGGUGGACAUUUAUAUGAAUUAAUAAUCGGUACUGUUCUUUCACUCUUGUCGGCAACCGUUGGAUGAUUGAACAGUAAACUUCACGUGUUUUCUCCUUCACCUAAAAUCUUCGACAAAUUGCCCGUGAUUUGCGCAAAGUUGAGUAUGCAUAUGACAGGUGUUGACGCGGCUGAAAAAGACUGGCGCAUCUUCGAUAUCUGGGAUCGACUCUUCGACAAAUUGCCCGUGAUUUCUGCAAAGCUGAGUUUGUGUGUGACGGGUGCUGACGUGUCUGGAAAAGCAAGACGCCUCUCCGAUUUCUGAGCUUGCCUCUUCGUUUUUUUUUUUGAAUUGGCCUCUUCGAUUUCUGAGCCCCGUCGAGUGCAGAGGUUGCAUAUGACAAGUGCGGACAAGUCUGGAAAGGAAGAUUGGCCCGUGGUUUUCGAGCAAGCCCAGCUUUUGAGAAAGCUAGCACCUCUUCGAUUUUUGAAUUGGCCUCUUCGAAUUCUGAGCUCGCCUCUUCGAUCUCUGAAAUCCCAUCGAGUGCUGAUUUAUAGAGGCACGCAAUUCGUUUCAAAGCACACUUGAAUUUUCGCUUGUAGAAACUCCCUUCUUGUACUUUUAAGAUCUUGAUUUAUCUGACCUCUUCUUCCUUCAACACUUUUGAAAAUGUCUGGACCCUCCGACCGUCGUUUUGAUUUGAAUCUUGGUGAAGAGGCAGUCCCGCCUUCUCCAGACAACAUAUGGCGCCCAUCCUUCAUAUCCCCUACUGGUCAUCUUACCGUUGGGGAUUCGGUGGUGAAGAAUGAUAUGACCGCUGCGGUGGUAGCUUGAAACCUUGUCACUCCCAGAGAUAACAGACUACUUUCCAAACGGUCUGAUGAGUUGGCUGUUAAGGAUUCUCUGGCUCUCAGUCUGCAGUGUGCAGGUUCUGUGUCUAAUAUGGCCCAACGCUUAUUUGCUCGAACCCGUUAAGUUGAAUCAUUGGCGGCUGAAGUGACGAGUCUCAAACAGGAGAUUAGAGGGCUCAAGCAGGAGAAUAAACAGUUGCAUAAGCUCGCACAUAGCUAUGCGACAAACAUGAAGAGGAAGAUUGACCAUAUGCAGGACUCUGAUGGUCAGAUUUUACUUGAUCAUCAGAGGUUUGUGGGUUUGUUCCAACAGCAUUUGCCUUCGUCUUCUGAGGCUGUACCGCGUAAUGAAGCUCCAAAUGUUCAACCUCCAGCUCCUCUUCUUGCUGGAGUUCCGUCGAGUGAUGAAGCGGUGGAAUUUACAGUAUCUUGGAUUGUCGGUACGAUUCAUCUCUUCCGGCUGUCUGCACUCAGGCAAACCGAUCACCUUCUUGUCCAACAGGUCAUCCAGCAUGGCAACCACAUCAGAGUCGGGGAAUGGAUAAGUCUUCUCCUCAAGCUCCUUCAAAGUGCGUCUACGCAUCUCUUGAUCACGAAAAGCUUCGACUUGAAUCGCCUUGCCUCGUGUAGAGAUUUUGACGGGAGAUGUGUUGACCGUCAUCGAUUCCUUGGUGGGUUUCCAUGUAGCCUUUUCCACCUUUGUCCCAAGAACUUUGUCGUUCUUGUAGUCGGCGAUCGGUUUUUUCUUCCCAUGAUGGGCGAUGCUCAACUCCAUGUCAUGGGCGCGAGUGGCCAAUUCCUCGAAGGUCCGUGGUUUAAUGCCUUGAAGGAUGUAUUGCAAACCCCAUUGCAUGCCUUGGAUGCACAUCUCGAUUGAAGAGGUUUCCGAGAGCCUGUCUUUACAGUCGAGGCUUAGAGUACGCCAUCUGUUGAUGUAGUCAAUGACUGGCUCGUCCUUCCACUGCUUUGUGCUCGUCAGUUCUAGCAUGCUCACAGUGCGGCGGGUGCUGUAGAAGCGGUUGAGGAAUUCCCUUUCCAACUGUUCCCAGCUGUUGAUGGACUCGGGCUCUAGGUCCAUGUACCACUCAAAAGCGUUUCCUUUCAGCGAGCGCACAAACUGCUUGGCGAGGUAGUCUCCAUCCGUCCCCGCAUUGUUGCAAGUUUCGACGAAAUGUGCAACGUGCUGCUUUGGGUUUCCUUUUCCAUCAAACUGCAUGAACUUUGGUGGUUGAUAUCCCCUCGGCAUCUUUAGGGCAUCAAUCUUCUUUAAAUAAGGCUUUGAGUACAACCCAGAGGUAUUUGAGCUCCAUUCGUACUGUGCCUUGACGGUGCUGGCGAUCAUCUCCUGCAGUUGCUGGAUAGAAAGAGAUCCCAUGAGUGCCGCUGCUUGGUCUGGCUCCGGCUUCAUAUCGAUAUUCUCCACCGGAGGCUCCUCUUCUGGGUUAGGGUUAUCGCCGUCCUGUGGCUCCAGUUGGCUGACGAGUGCAGCGAUUUGCAAGUCUUUUUCUUCCACAGUUCGGGUUAGCCUUGCGAUUGCUUCAUUCAUUUGAGCCAGCUGCUCAUCGAUUGAAGUUGCUCCAAUGGUCAUGACUUGCAUGGCUGAACUGCCGCUCGAAUCGGCAUUGGAGAGCAUGGAUUCGGAGUAUUUCCUUGGACUUUCGCCCCUUGGUGAGGCUAAGGUGAUCAAAGGCUUGUGCCUUGGGUGUUCUUGUUCCCUUGGCAGAGUUGAUGCAGAGGUGAAAGAGGCGGCAGAAGUAGCUCUUGCCUUGCUUCGAGUCGUGAUGCCUAAAGUGACACCACUUGCGACGAGGACGCUCUUGUUCUUUACGCCAGUUGCGGGAACAGUUUGAGCCUUCCUUGAAUCCAUUAAUUUUGGAAAUGUGCUCGAAUUUCUUGAACGGAGAAAGAGAUGAGAGGUAGUGAUUGUCCCACCGGGCGUGCCAAUUUGUGAACACGAAAAUUUCGGUAAAUAAAUGUUGACCGAUAAAUCAAAGUUUCAACGCUCAUGUAUUACAUAAAUUUUACACGUAGCGUGUGUCUAAACAAAAAAUCGAAAUAAGUUAGAAAAGUCAUCAAACAGGACACGUGUCAACACCUGGCAGAAACGACUUAUUUCAUCUGGAAUAUUAUAUUCAAAAUUAGGCCUUGGAAAUUUCUAUAAAUAGAAGGCUAAUUCAUUCAUUUAAAGGAACCAAAAUCAUUAGGCAAAAUUCUUGAAGCUCUGAAGCUCUGAAACUCCGAAGCUCUCAAGCAUCCAGGUUCCCGAAGAAUCAAGAAAGUGUUCUUCGUUCCUCGUUCAUCGUUCUUCCAAGAUCAAGCCCCAGCGGCCUUUUGGAUCAACAAUCGUCCACCAAUUCAAGAUCAAGCCCCGACGGCCCUUGAAGAAAGUGUUCUUCGUUCUUCGUUCAUCGUUCUUCCAAGAUCAAGCCCCGACGGCCCUUGGAUCAACCAUCCACCAAUUCAAGAUCAAGCCCCAAAGGCCCUUGAAGAACUUCCACCAAUUCAAGAUCAAGCCCCGACGGCCCUUGAAGAAAACACCAUUGUUCAUCAUCCGUUCAUCCAAGAUCAAGCCCCAACGACCAUUUGGAUCAACAACGUCGAUAAAUCCACACAUCCAACCGUUCUUCAAGAUCAAGCCCAAAAGCCCUUGAAGAUCCAUUCAUCACUGUUCUUCAAGAUCAAGCCCAAAAGCCCUUGAAGAUCCGUUCAUCGCCAUUAUUCAAGAUCAAGCCCAAAAGCCCUUGAAGAUCCGGUCAUCACCAUUAUUCAAGAUCAAGCCUCAACGGCCCUUGAAGAAACACUCAUCCUCAAGAUCAAGCCCCAACGGCUCCUUGAAGAUCCGCUCAAAUCCACCUUCAAAGAUCAAGCCCACGGCCCCUUGAAGAAACUUCCAACAGUUCAUCCAAGAUCAAGCCUCGACGGCCCUUGGAUCAACGAAACAUCCACAAAUCAAUACCUUACGGAGAUCAAAUCAGAGGAUCAAAAUAGAGAGAGAUUGUAACCCUAAAUCAUCAAAAUACAAAUAUUUGUUUGUGCACGUUGUUCUUGUCGUUUUCGUUUCAGGAAAUUUUCGUGUUCACAAAUUGGCAUGCCCGGUGGGACAAUCUCUACCUCUCAUCUCUUUCUCCAUUCAAGGAAUCCAAACACACCUCAAAGUUAAUGGCAUCAAGCAAGGGACAAGCCGUUCUCGCAAUCACUGAGGGAAGGAUCCUAAGCACUUCUGCCGCAAAUGGACAAUCCAUUGGCGCCACAACCGCUCAUCAACAUGCCACUUCAAAGUUGGUGCCGCUAAAAGAGCAAAGGGAGCAUCAAAGGUGUGAGUCUGUCAUCAACCUGACCUCGUUGGGGGCACCGAAGCAUGCUACUGAGGCACACAAGAUGACAUCCCAAAACAACCAACGACGUUCUUCGUCAGCAUCUUGGAUGUCUAAAGGAAAGUCACGUCUAUUGGUUGCACAAGUCAUGACCAUCGGCGUUACCUCCAUCGAAGAACAACUGGCUCAAAUGAAUGAAGCAAUCGCAAUGCUAACCCGAACUGUGGAAGAAAAAGACUUGCAAAUCACUGCACUCGUCAGUCGACUGGAGCCGCAUGACAGCGAGAACCCUAACCCAGAAGAUGAGCCUACGGUGGAGAGAAUCGAUGUGAAGCCGGAGCCAGACCAAGAAGCGGCACUCAUGGGAUCUCUUUCUAUCCAGCAGUUGCAAGAGAUGAUUGCCAGCACCGUCAAGGCACAAUACGAAGGGAGCUCAAAUACCUCCGGGUUGUACUCAAAGCCUUAUUCAAAGAAGAUUGAUGCCCUAAAGAUGCCGAGGGGAUAUCAACCACCAAAGUUCAUGCAGUUUGAUGGAAAAGGAAACCCAAAGCAGCACGUUGCACAUUUCGUCGAAACUUGCAACAACGCGGGGACGGAGGGAGACUACCUCGCCAAGCAGUUUGUGCGCUCGCUGAAAGGAAACGCCUUUGAGUGGUACACGGACCUAGAGCCUGAGUCCAUCAACAGCUGGGAACAGUUGGAAGGGGAAUUCCUCAACCGCUUCUACAGCACCCGCCGCACUGUGAGCAUGCUAGAGCUAACGAGCACAAAGUAGUGGAAGGACAAGCCAGUCAUGGACUACAUCAACCGAUGGCGUAAUCUAAGCCUCGACUGUAAAGACAGGCUCUCGGAAACUUCUUCAAUCGAGAUGUGCAUCCAAGGCAUGUAAUGGGGUUUGCAAUACAUCAUUCAAGGCAUUACACCACGGACCUUCGAGGAAUUGGCCACCCGCCCAUGACAUGGAGUUGAGCAUCGCCCAUCAUGGGAAGAAGGAACCGAUCGCCGACUACAAGAACGACAAAAUUCUUGAGACAAAGGUGGAGAAGGCUUCGUGGAAAUCCACCAAGGAAGCAAUGACAGUCAACACAUCUCCCGUCAAAAUCCCUACACGAGGCAAGGCGAUUCAAGCUGAAGCUUUUCGUGAUCAAGAGAUGCGUAGACGCACUUUGAAGGAGCUUGAGGAGAAAACUUAUCCAUUCCCCGACUCUGAUGUGGUUGCCAUGUUAGAAGACUUGCUAGAAAAGAAGGUGAUCGGCUUGCCUGAGUGCAGACGGCCAGAAGAGAUGAAUCGCAUCGACAGUCCAAGGUACUGUAAAUUCCACCGCUUCAUCAGUCAUCCGACAGAAAAGUGCUUCGUGCUGAAAGAUCUCAUCAUGAAGCUGGCUCAGAAAGGAAUCAUCGAGCUAGAUCUUGACGAUGUGGUGAAGUCAAAUUAUACUACCAUCACUUCUGGCUCUUCCGACUCAAAAUUUUUACCUCAACCUCAGGGGGCAUCCUCCAAGACAAGCAAAGUUGAAGGAUGGACUCAAGUCACUCCUAAGAAAUUGCACAAGAAGCAUACGUCUCCUCCACAAGUCCGCCAAUCGGAAAGGGGGCAAAGCAGCUUUUGUCAACCUUCAAAGCAACGUGAACGUGUUGAAGAUGAUGAAAUUUCGACAUAUAGAUCGUCCAUCCCCAUCACAAUGCGCGAUUUCUUUCCCAAAGACUUAUUCAAUCACUUGGUCAAGGCUCCUUGCUAUGAAGAUUGUGAGGAACGCCUCUCCAAAAUUGCUUGACAAAAUUCAUAAAUUCUCCUCGCCCGCACGAGUCUAAACUGCAUGGCACAAAGCUUCUGGUCUGCACGAGCAUAAAAGGCAACACCAAUGCUCCUUGUUCGCACGAGCCUAAACUGCACGAACCAAUGCUCCUUGUUCGCACGAGCCUAAACUGCACGAACCAAAGCUCAUUGCCCGCACGAGUCUAAACUGCAUGGCACAAAGCUCCUGGUCUGCACGAGCAUAAAAGGCAACAUUAACGCUCCUGACCCGCACGAGCAUAAAAGGCGACAUCAACGCUCCUGGUCUGCACGAGCAUAAAAGAUCAACACUCGACGGGAUUUCAAAGAUCGAAGAGGCGAGCUCAGAAUUCGAAUAGGCCAAUUCAAAAAUCAAAGAGGCAAGCUCAGAAAUCGAAGAAGCAUCUUGCUUUUCCAGACGCGUUAGCACCCGUCACGCGCAAACUCAGCUUUGCGAAAAUCACGGGCAAUUUGUCGAAGCGCCGAUCCCAAAUAUCGAAGAGGCGCCAGUCUUUUUCAGCUUCAUCAACACCUGUCACAUGCACACUCAGCUUGACAAAAAUUACGAACAAUUUGUCGAAGAUUUCUGAUAAAGAAGAAAGCACGUGAAGCCAUACUGAUCAAUCACGCAUUGGUUGCCGACACGAGUAAAAGAAUAAUACCUCUACAGGUACUAAAGAAUUUCCUAUAACUGUCCACCUUCACCCUCCAUAGCAAGGCAGACAUACAUAUCAUUUCUUCAUCUCCGAGAACCUUUCUUCAUCUCCGAGAAUGCCUUCCCUGACUGUUGAUCCAAAGGGCCGUUGGGGCUUGAUCUUGGAAGAACGAUGAACGAAGAACGAAGAACGAAGAACACUUUCUUCAAGGGUUGUCGGGGCUUUGAUCUUGAAUUGGUGGAUGAUUGUUGAUCCAAAGGGCCGUUGGGGCUUGAUCUUGGAAGAACGAUUAACGAAGAACGAAGAACACUUUCUUCAAGGGCCGUCGGGGCUUGAUCUUGAAUUGGUGGAUGAUUGUUGAUCCAAAGGGCCGUUGGGGCUUGAUCUUAGGAUGAACAGUUGUGUGGAUUUGUUGAUGUUGUUGAUCCAAAGGGCCGUUGGGGCUUGAUCUUAGGAUGAACAGUUGUGUGGAUUUGGGGCUUGAUCUUAGGAUGAACAGUUGUGUGGAUGUUGUUGAUCCAAAGGGCCGUUGGGGCUUGAUCUUAUGAUGAACAGUUAUGUGGAUUUGGUGAUGUUGUUGAUCCAAAAGGGCCGUCGGGGCUUGAUCUUAGGAUGAACAGUUGUGUGGAUUUGUUGAUGUUAUUGAUCCAAAGGGCCGUUGGGGCUUGAUCUUAAGAUGAACAAUUGUGUGGAUUUGUUGAUGUUGUUGAUCCAAAGGGCCAUUGAGGCUUGAUCUUAGGAUGAACAGUUAUGUGGAUUUGGUGAUGUUGUUGAUCCAAAAGGGUCGUCGGGGCUUGAUCUUAGGAUGAACAGUUGUGUGGAUUUGUUGAACACUUUCUUCAAGGGCCGUCGAUGUUUGAUCUUGAAUUGGUGGAAGUUCUUCAAGAGCCGUUGGGGCUUGAUCUUGAAGGAGGAAUUUCUUCAAGGGUCGUUAGGGCUUGAUCUUGAAGGAGGAUUUGACGAAGAACGAAGAGGGCUUUCUUGAUCCUUCGGGAUUUGCUUGAAUUUGGGAGGUUGGAUGCUUGAAAGCUUUAGAGUUUCAAAGCUUCAAGGAUUUUGGAUGUGUGGGGAGUAUUCUCUUCCAUUUUGGGAGUAGAGAAAUGUAUUUGUGAAUUGGUUUCUGAUACCUUGAUGUAGAAGCCUAUUUAUAGGCUUUGAGAAUGAAUCACCACCACAAAAUAUUUUUUUCUUUUCCAAGCACCAUUGCCUAAUUUCCCACUUAAUACAAUUUUAAACUUGAAGUGGUAAUUUUAUGGCCUAAUUUUCCACUUAAUAUCAUUUUAAACUUGAUAUGUGCAUGCUUUGUCAUUGCCCAAAAUGAGAAGAAAACCUUGUUUUGAUCUUCAAUGGAUUGAAAUGUGCUUGCCUUGUCAUUGCCCAAAAUGAGAAGAAAAACUUGUGUAAUCCUCCAAGGGUAUUUCUUCUUAUUUUGUUGAGUCACACACCAUGUGUACAAUUUGUAUGACACGUGGCAUAUGCCAUGUAUGCCCUGACACGUCAAAAUUUUAAUGCGUUGGUGAACAUUUAUUUCACCGCAAUUUCGAUGUCUACAAUGAUAUUUUAACUAAAUGCUCGCAUUUUCACAAAAAAUUGUGAGUAAACUCUUUUUAAUCAGUUUUGAAAAUUUCUAACAUGAGUCAUCAUAAAACAUAUUUUGGUAGAAAUUUAGCUGCACCAAGCACCGGUGGAGCCAAGUAUAAAGAUCUGGUGGGUUAUAGCAUAGGGAGAGUUUUAAUUUUUAUGUUUAAAAACACUAAUCAUUUGGAUUAUUUUAUGAUUUUAAAUUGCCAUAGUCCACAUAGCAAAGAAAAUGUCUAAAUUUUAGGACAGUUUUUAGGGAAAUAAGAGUUAAUAAAUGUUAAAUAAACUCAUCAUUUUAACCAAUACUAAAAUUUAGUAGUAAUAAAUUAAAACUUCCAUACCACACACGGUUCUUUAUUUUAUUCAUUUGAAAGUUUUGAAGGCUAGAAGCCUUGAAAAUAGACUAUAAGUUUCUUGCUUCAAUUUUUUUCUUUCAAGUUUACUAUUAUUGUAUGUAGGCAACAAAAAACAUUGAGCAAUUAAUUUUGUAGUAAUAUUUUUAGUUUAGCUCACCCACAGAAUACUUCUUGGCUCCAUCAUUAGCAUCAAGCUUCUUCAAAGUUCAAGAAGGAAAUUUAAAGGAUGUCAUGAUCGAUGAAACUCUGUUCUAGUUAUAUUCGAUCUCGCUUGUAUUUUCAUGGGUUUUGUUAGUUUUUUUCUAGCUUAAAAGAUUCCAUAACUAAAUAUUAAUCCAUAAUAUAAUUGAACAAAAAUGGAAUUGACAUCAAUGGCAUGGCACGCUAAUGAGCCUCUACCAGUCAAAUCUAAAGUUAGAGACGUGGCAAUGACCCUGAUAAUUAUUGUUAAUUGCUAUUUAUACUAAAUAAUUUACUUAAUGGUCAUGAUGUAUAUAUGCAUCUCAUUCAUUUCAAGAUUACUUUUAAGUUUGAAAUCGGUGAGGUGGUAUGAAAUUAUUUACUCAGUGACAGUAAUGUGUAUAUGCCAUUCAUUUCAAGAUCAUUUCAAGUUUGGAAUCAGUUGAGGUGGUACUAAAUAAUUUAAACAAUGACGGUGAUGUGUAUAUGCAUUAUUGGUUUUUUUUUUCUUGGUUGAGGAAACCCUAUUUGGAAAAUUGAGUGGCCAAUUUCUUUUGAUAGCUUAUCUUCACAACAGUGAAGACUUGGAUAUUGGAACAAUGAGGAGGUUAAGGUCGUAAUAUCACCAUGCAUGCAUAUGACAGACAAAUUUUCUCCUUCCACAGUUUGCACUUGAAAUACAGAGCUUUCAUGACCACGUGAUUUAAUUUUGUUUUCAACAAAAAUAAUACACGUCCAUGGAUGGUUAAUAAUUAUUGUAGCUUUCUGUUUCACCUAAAGUCACCCCGUCAUCAAGCAUAAAUUGAUCAUAUAACAUGCAAAACCCUAAUUGUUUUCAGGAAAUAAUGUCUUUAUCGUCAGAAGAAGAAUAUAAUGUCAUAUUUAUCACAAAGGCUCGCGACCAAAGCUAGCCUACAAAUUUUAUAUUAUCUAUUAACAUGUUCAAUAAUUUGCAAAAUACGGUGAUUGAUACAUUUCGUAAUUGAGGUUAUACAUAUAUAUAGUGUGUAUGUGUUUAAGUAUGUCAAGAGGAAAGAGACAAAUUGUAUCCAUGGAUUGUGGACCAUACUCUCUUAUUUCCCUAUGAGGGCCACCCCUUGAGUUAAACAAUGGAUGAAACUAAUUAUAUAAGGUUUGAUAGGUCGAUCGAUUAAGACUAAUUAUGUAGAUUAAUUAUAACACCCUAAGAUCGCAAGCCACUUCGUUGCCUUGUAAAUGAUACUACGCACCCUAAUCGAUCUAUUAAAUCAUUUAUAAAAUUUGUUCACACUACAAUGUCAAUGUAUAUGCCAAGUGGCAAAGUUAACGGUGUCCUAUUGUCCACAUAUUCAUGGUCAAUAAGAUUUCUCCUUUCAAUUCCAGUGAUAUUAAAUAGAUUUAAUUUUAAAUUACGACAAAUAAGAUUCGAGUAAAAAAUGUAGAGGACAGAGCUAUUGGUCAAGCCAAUUUGAUUACACUUAUGUUGCAAUGGAAAACUGAGGUACCAAUGUAUAAGCAGGUUAAUAAUUAUCUUAUUCCUUUUCAAACAAAUUGGUUGGUAUUAGACUCCAUCACCCCGAAACUUCUCUCUCCUUCCCCAACACAAGUGUAUUAGACUCCUGGUUGUUGGUGGGUCAUUCAUCUUCUAUGGCUUGAUUUCUAAGGUGGAGAUCUAUGUACUCCACCGGUUUGUGGCGGUGCCGCCUUACUUGGCCAGAUCCAUGGCGGGAUCUCUUUAGAUGUGGUACGGUGGUCUUGGCUAGAGUUUCCUAAUCCUCACUGUGAAAAUAAUUGAUUGGUGGAUUCCAUUUUCGAAGUAGUGGUUUUUUGUAGGAUUGUUGUUUGUACUGCAACUAAUGAAAAAUGUCUCGCUUAGCAAGUUAUGUGGCCUUGCUUAUUAGCGAUAAUUUGAUGUGAUGUGAUUUCGAUUUUGGCAAUGGGACUGUGUGUGCCUCGGUUUAGGUCUGGUACGUCCGCCAUUUGUGAUAGAUUUGUGCCGAUGGUGCUUGUGCUGCUGCCGAUGCUGCUUGUGGUAGCCAUUUACGAGACUACUCUUUAGGCUUGUAUGUGCAAAUUAAUCCAGACCAAUAAAUUGAUCACUAAAAAAAUGUCUCCAUUGUGACAACCCUUGUAAUUGUUCUUGUUCAUUAAUGAAAUGCUACCGCUUCUUGUCAAAAUAAUUUUUUUGUUGGUUACAGGUCUAUCAUCUCACAUGGUAGCUUUUAUUCUGUAAUCACUAUAAAUAAAUAAUUGAUUAACUGCCAGUUAAUUAUAUUCUGGUAAGACAUUCAAAUCCAGUAUGUGAUGCAACUUCUAUUUAAAAAUUACUAGGGGAAAAAACAACAGAUCAGAAGAAGCUACUUAAUUAUAUACUUCUUCUUCUAAUUCUAAUAUCACCAAAUUGAUCCCCAAAACAUUGACGAUUUCACUUGAACUUUCAUUUGUUUAUUUCUUAACUUAAUGCGUAUCGAGCAAUGCUAGUCAAAGUAAAUAAAUUUAGAGUUUAAUCAAGUUGGUUAAAACAAUGUCUUACUCUUUUUUUUUUUAUUCAAGAGUAAAUUGUAGUAAUGGUUCCUCAAUUUUAAUCAAAUUGGAGCAAUGGUCUCCCAACUAAAAAUUCAUUACCAUUGGUCCCUCAACUCAUCAAAAUAUGUAGCUAUGGUCAUUUUUAUCAACUUCAUCAGAAUUUUGUCAAAAGAAAUUAUGUUGGAAAGACCAUUGCUACAAUUGAGAUCCCUCAACUCAUCAAAACGUGUAGCUAUAGUCAUUUUCGUCAAUUUCGUCAGAAUUUUGUCAAAAUGAGUUAUGUUGGAAUGACCAUUGCUAUAAUUAGGUUAAAGUUGAGAAACUAUUGCUCCAAUUGAGUUAAGGUUGAUGGACCAUUUCUCCAGUUGGAUUAAAGUUGAGAGACCAAUAGUAAUGGAUUUUAAGUUGAGGGACCAUAACUACACAUUUUGAUGAAUUGAGGAACCAAUGGUAAUAUAUUUUUAGUUGAGGGACUAUUGCUCCAAUUAAGUUAAAGUUAAGGGACCAUUCCUACAAUUUACUCUUUAUUGAAAUUUGAAUUUUUCUCCCUAGUUUGGAUCAAUUUAAAUAGCUAGUGUGUUGGAAGAGUGGCUAUAUUAAGAUAAAUUGGAAGAAGAAAAAAAACUUAGAAAGAGCUAAUCUAGUGGAUAUGCUGCUUGGUGUAAAGUCAACAGAUUUGAUUAUUGUAAUUUAUCUUUAGAUCGAGGUCUUCAGUAUUACAUACGUACAGAAAGAAUGCGUUGAAUAAAACUGCAACGAAAGAGUGAGAGGUUCAGACAUGUAGCUAGCAUCAAUCCUGCAAAUCUGGAGUCAAUGAAAUUAAUGGCGCGUUUACGUAACCGUAAUGAAAACAAGAGAAAUUGAAUUGAGGAGGAGUUGGAAUGAGGAGAGGUCAGAAUCGAAUUCAUGUUGAAGUUGUUUACUUAAUUAAAUGUUAUGGAAUCGAAAUAGAAAUAACAUUAAUGCCAUAAAGUUGUUUACUAAUUCAGCAUAAUUGGAAUAUAAACCAGUAUGAUUACUAAAAUGCCCUUAUCCCAAAUCAAAUAUUUUAUAUACUUUUUUUAAUAAAAUUUGAUAUAAUAUAUAAUAGGGUAAAUUACAUAAUACCCCCUCAGGUUUGAGGUCUAUUACAACCUCAUACAACAUCUUUAAACAUUUUACUUUCAUACCUCACGUACUAUUUUAUUUCAAAAUAAUACAUCCGUUUGAUUUUCCAUCUAUUGGUUUGUUAAAUGCUGAUGUAACUGCCACAUUUGUGCUGAUGUGGCUACCACGUGGCAAUUUGUUUUUUUUAUAUACAUUAAAAAUAUUAUAAUAUUAACCCUAUUAAAAUAAAAAAAAAUAAAAAAACCAGAAAAACCCAAACCCAAAAAUCCUGCCCCGCAACCCCACAUCCCACCCCCUUACCCAUCUCUUCCUUCCCAUCCAUCCAUCCCCUCCACUCGAGCACCCCUCAACGCGGGUCCCACCUCGACCUCUCUCUCUCUCCAUCCCUCUCUCUCCUCUGUUAAAUGUGGAAUUCGAGAUGCGGGUGUGGUUUUUGAAGUCUAGUGUUUGAUGAACGGAAAUGGUUGGCCACGAUCUUGUAGGCGAGGUCUUCAAUUUAAUUAUUUAUAAAAUUAAAAAAGAAAAUAACAGCGGGGACGUGGUUGAGGGCGAUGUCGGUGCUGGAGAGGGCAUGCUGAACAAAAUCAGGGAUGUAGUUGGUGUCGUCGUAGGUGGAGAUGGAGACGGGCCCACAAUAAUUCAUCUUCACGAGCAGAACUGAUGUUCUGGGCGAUGACAUGGGCAUCGUAGACUUUAGGGACCUGGCAGUUCUCUAUGUCCCACCACACCGACGUUUUGGCGUUCACGUACUACGCCUCCACCAUACCGAUGGAGGGCGCCCCCGCCACCAUGGUGCUUCCGUUCACAUCCCCAGGCAUUGUCGCCCUCUAAACGCUCGAGAUCUAACGAUUAUUGAAAAACGAAGACGAUUGUUUCUUCAAAACAUCAACAUACUAAAUUAGAAUCGAAAUCCGACUGAUUGAUUCGCUACUCCUCCUACUUCUUCUCCUUCUUCUUCUUCUUUUUCUUGUUGUAUGGGUGAUUCUUUUCUAGGAAUUGCAGAUUGAUCUGUCUGGCGCCUGCUUUGUAAAUUGUAAAUGGGUUGGUUGGUGGGUAGAAUUAGGUAUGGAAGUGCUUCAAUAAGGAUGAACCGUGGGCUGAGUGGUAGAUUUUGUAAAUGGGAGUUGCAGAGAGGUGAGGGGGAAGGAAGGGGAUCUGGGUUCGGGUUUUUCUUAUUUUUUUUCUUUAAUUUUUAAUUUUUUGAAUAGGGUUAAUAUUAUAAUAUUUUUAAGGAAAAAUUAGUAUCCGGUCUCUAGUUUUAACUGUUCAUUGACUAAGACCUUAUUAGUUCUCAAAUUUUGAUUCAAGUCCCUAGCAUUAAUGUGAUAAUGAAUUUACAUGUUUAUUAUAUAAUUUUUUAAUAUAAAAAUUAGUAAUUAAUUUAGGGUUUAAUACUCACACCUCUAUUAAACUUCUAAUUAAUUUUCAAUUGAAACAUUUUCAAAAUAAUAAAAAUUU